UACAGAGGAUGCAAGCGUUAUCCGGAAUGAUUGGGCGUAAAGCGUCUGUAGGUGGCUUUUUAAGUCCGCCGUCAAAUCCCAGGGCUCAACUCUGGACAGGCGGUGGAAACUACCAAGCUGGAGUACGGUAGGGGCAGAGGGAAUUUCCGGUGGAGCGGUGAAAUGCGUAGAGAUCCGGAAGAACACCGGUGGCGAAGGCGGUCUGCUGGGCAGUUGCUGACACUGAGGCGCGACAGCGUGGGGAGCAAACAGG
RNAcentral lists this ribosomal RNA (253 nucleotides) under uncultured bacterium. Its description in RNAcentral is "partial 16S ribosomal RNA". It matches the Rfam family "Bacterial small subunit ribosomal RNA", at positions 524 to 776 of the family's 1533-position model. The record is from RNAcentral.